This 253-nucleotide ribosomal RNA is filed under the name uncultured bacterium. RNAcentral describes it as "partial 16S ribosomal RNA". It matches the Rfam family "Bacterial small subunit ribosomal RNA", at positions 524 to 776 of the family's 1533-position model. The record is from RNAcentral.
UACGGGGGGGGCAAGCGUUGUUCGGAAUUACUGGGCGUAAAGGGCUCGUAGGCGGCCAAUUAAGUCAGACGUGAAAUCCCUCGGCUUAACCGGGGAACUGCGUCUGAUACUGGAUGGCUUGAAUCCGGGAGAGGGAUGCGGAAUUCCAGGUGUAGCGGUGAAAUGCGUAGAUAUCUGGAGGAACACCGGUGGCGAAGGCGGCAUCCUGGACCGAGAUUGACGCUGAACAGCGAAAGCUAGGGGAGCAAACGGG